RNAcentral lists this long non-coding RNA (2638 nucleotides) under Mus musculus (house mouse). RNAcentral describes it as "long non-coding RNA chr4:155719325-155721963". The record is from RNAcentral. Lineage: Eukaryota; Metazoa; Chordata; Mammalia; Rodentia; Muridae.
GCGGCUCACCUCUUGGUUGGCCCUCAGGAAGCUUAUUACUUAUUUACUUGGUGUAGGAAGUAUAUUGGUCUAGGUGGGGCCAGAAUGAGGCAUAACAAUGUACUUAAUGCUUUUCUGUAUUUUCAGUAUUAUCCUUGUCCCAAAGGAGGUCUCUUCCAGGGAAUUUACUAGACAGUGGCAUUAAGCCACAUUAGAUGAGAGCAUUGUUGAGAUUAUAUGAAGGGGUUGGGGAUAGAGGUAGGAUCACUAUAUGGGAUACCCAUUUGUUCCAGGGCAGACCAUCACAGGGAAUUGGGAAAGGAGUGAUUCCUCGCUUUGGAAAUAACUCUGAUAGUGUUCCUUAGUCAGUAGGAAGUGUCCCUGCAAGUGUCCCUUUACAUAAGAGCCAUACUUUUAUAGUAGAAAGCUAAAAGAAUAUUUUAAGAUGUAACUCAAAGGUGAAAGCACUCUAUAUUUUCAAGGAGGAAAAGAUACUUGAUUAGGACUGGGGGGCCCUAGACCACCUCUGACAUACUUUUUUUUUAAAUUUUAUUUAUUCACUUAAUAUCUCAAUAUCAACUCCCCCCCCCCCCAUUCUCCCAGUACCCUCUCCCUUUCUCCUCUGAGAAGGGAGCCCCCCUCUGGGUAUCACCCCCACAACCCCCAAACACAUCCUCUCCCACUGAGGCCAGACAAGGUGACCCAGUUAGGGGAACAGGAUCCAGAGGCAGGCUAAAAAAUAUGGAACGGUUCAUGGAUUUGCAUGUCAUCCUUGCACAGGGACCAUGCUAAUCUGUACCAUUCCAGUUUUAGUGUAUGUGCUGCCAAAGCGAUUACUCUGCCAUGUUUUCUAUUCUCUGUGUAGCUAGGACCUCAGUUUCUUCAUAUGUGGCACGUGAUGACAUCUGGUAAGUGAAUUAAAACAUACAAGCUGAGCAGAGUAGCAGCCACCUGAAAUCCUAGCACUCGGGCAGCAAACAUAAUAGUUAAAAAAGAAACAUGCAGAUGCCUAGAUCAGUGAUAGGAAUUCUCAGUUCACCUGAUUUCUACAGAUUCUGUCUUUGAAACCAGAUAUGGUGGUCAUGUACCACCAUCUAAGCUGCUCUGUGCAGUGAGACAGGAGGAUGACCAGGAGGCGCUUGCCAAUGCAGGGUCUGCCUGGAUACCAGACGAUUUCCCUUUCUUAAAAAUGAAAGAGCCAGGCAGUGGUGGCGCUCGCCUUUAAUCCCACCACUCAGGAGGCAGAGACAGGUGGAUUUCUGAGUUCGAGGCCAGCCUGGUCUACAGAGUGAGUUCCAGGACAGCCAGGGCCACACAGAGAAACCCUGUCUUGAAAAACCAAAAAACAAAAAUGAAAGAAAGUGGUAGACAUAGUGUCACAUAACCUAUUUUCCCAGUAUUUAGAAGGUUCAGGUCGAGUUUAAGGCCAGCCUGUGUGAAAUAAGCAAGACCCUGUCUUAAAUCUUCAUUUAGGUGGUUUUGUUUUUUGUUGUUUUUUAAUUUCAUUAAGAGGAGCCCAUUAGUUCUGUUUAUCAGUGUCAGAUGUACCUGGAACAACGUUGGUGAUAUGAGUUGAUUUUUGUUCAUGGGGAAUGGUCGGUCUUACCAGUGAACUAUCAAGAGAUUAAGGAAGUGGGUCAGCACAAACGCUCGCCGGGAAGCACGCCCUGCUCUUGCUGCCUCUGCUCCCACUGCUAAUGCGGAGGCCAUGAACUGUUCAUAAGACACUACAGGGCGUAGUUACUACUCUUCCUGAAACUUGCAUAUAUGUUGAAAAGUGGACCUGUAAAUCUGCUCUCUCUAGUAUGCUUGGAUUUAUCUUUGGGAUCUUGCAGUCACCUUUUGAGUUUAGAAUAUAUUUUAGCUAUCCAUGUUAUUUAGUGUUCAUCCUCAGUCUUUUAUUACUGUACAUUCUUUUUCCUUGAAAAAUGGUUUCUGAGAUAAAAAAUGAACCAGAAUUGGCCUUCUGAUAGUUAUUCUUGUCAUUGAUUGGAUGAGACACAUCUAGGAGAUUAGUAAAAACGUAGCUCUGGGUAUGUCUGUGAGAGUGUCCCUUUUUUCCUAUUUAAAAUGUUAUUGUUUGUAUGAAUAGUGGUGCGUGGACAUGCCAAGUUAAAGUCAGGACAACUGGAAAUGAUUCUCGCCUAACCUUUGUGGGUCUCAGUGGGCCAUUAGAAGAAGUAGGUCAUAGACAGCAUACCUUUUAAAUUUUUUCUAUGAAUUUUCUUUUCUUUUUUUUUUUUAGUUUUUUUAAGACAGGGUUUUACUGUGUGACCCUGGCUGUCCUGGAACUCACUAUGUAGACCAGGCUGGCCACGACCUCAGAAAUCUGCCUGCCUCUGCCUCCCGAGUGCUGGGAUUAAAGGUGUGUGCCACCACCACCCGGCCAGCUUUUUUUUUUUUUUUUUUUUUUUAGAAUUUUUUUUUUAAUUAGGUAUUUUCCUCGUUUAGCCAAUUUAGCUUUUUAAGAGUGCUCUCUCUGCAUAUACACCUGCAUGCCAGAAGAGGGCACCAGAUCCCAGUAUAGAUGGUUGUGAGCCACCAUAUUGUUGCAUGUAUGAGUGUUUUGCUGGGAUCUAUGUCUGUGCAUCAUGUGUGUACCUGGCGCCUGAGGGGGUUUAGGAGAGCAUGCCAAAUCUUCUGGAACUGGAGUUAACGG